Molecule: long non-coding RNA, 3994 nt
Organism: Pecten maximus
Lineage: Eukaryota; Metazoa; Mollusca; Bivalvia; Pectinida; Pectinidae
Exons: 2
Source: RefSeq, a predicted model, not a curated record
UUAUACUGUCACUAUCUACAGUAAAACCUUGUUAUACUGUCACCGUCUACAGUAAAACCUUGUUAUACUGUCACCAUCUACAGUAAAACAUUGUUAUACUGACCUGUUUCACAAACCCCUGACUCUGGAAUUAAAUUUCAUCUAUUGUAAGAAAUGGAGGAAUGUUAGGUUAUCAUUGUUUGUCGUAUUUUUCUUCUUUCUGUUUUCUGAAAAUAUGCAUCUUAUUUAUUGCAUAAUAUAUAAUAUUUCAUGUUACUAUUUAUAGCCAUUGUUUCCUCGAUAAAACUUUGUUUCAUUUUUGUAUGCCCAUUACUUCCUUGCCUUUUCCCCCACAUUUUGUUAAUUGGUAAUUAAAUGAAAAUAUUUAAAGAAUCAUUUUCUUUUAGUGUCAUGGUUUUAUAUUCUGUUUGAUUGUCAGAGUAUCUUCUGGCCCCUACACCAGAUGUUAGACAUUUCACCAGAGAGAUGUCUGGUGCGAGGCAAAAAUUCACUACAUGUAUAACCAGUAUAUAACAUGGAGUUCGCUAAAAAUUCACUACAUGUAUAACCGGUUUAUAACAUGGAGUUCGCUGACAGAGUACUAAAUUACUGAUUAAUACAUUUUUAGGGUUCUAAAAAUAUCUCUUAUGACACAAAAUCUUUGCACUGAUAACCAUUUUUGUAUGAAAUCCAAAAAAGUCAUCAAUGAUACACAUAUGAUGGUUGAUUUGUUACCAUCAUCAGAUUCAUCUUUAUCCCUCGUCUGUCAUUUAUCAAAUCAUUUAAGCAGAUCAGUCUUACAUAGAACCAAUGGAAAUCAUACAGCGGCUUCAAGAUCCUUUUGGAAUCUCUUGUUUGGUAAUCAAAUACAAAGUUGCUUGAUAAAAAAAGAAAUAUCAUAAAAUAAUAUAAUUUAUUCUAAUUAAUACCAAAUAUUUUGGGAAAAUGACCAAUUUGAUUUUAGUUUGAGUUUAAAGGUACGCACAAAUUCUUAAUAUGUGCUUCGUUCAUUUCAGCUAUGGAAUAUCUUUUAUAAAAUAUUAAUUUCAAAAAGUGAUAGUUUAAAAGCUUUAUUGAUAUUUUAAUCAGAACGUGUUAUAAUGUGUUAUGAUAUCACAGAGAAUCUAUCAAUUUUGGUUAUCAUGCAUAAAAAUAGAAAUAUUUUUAAUAUUCCUUGUAUAGUAUUUUCUGUAUACAAAUACAUGUAUAUAUAAGUUUUGAAAGGUUCUAAUCUUGACUAAUUUACUGUUAUCAGUAAAGUGUGGAACAAUCAAAAUAACCAAGCAAGUGCUGUAUUCAUCAUCAAAUAUGUAUUUAUCCUCAUAUAAACCCCUCCCCCUAGUGUAAAAGUUAAAGUAUUCAUCCUCAUAUAAACCCCUCCCCCUAGUGUAAAAGUUAAAGUGUUUAAGUUUGGAGCUAGCUUAUUUAUGAACCACUUUUACCUAACUGUUAUCAGAAUUGAUUCUUCUGCGAAAAGGAAUAAGGCAGCUAAUUGCCUUUGAAUACAGUACUCAUAAUUUUAGUUUGGACAGUCAAGGUUUGGACAAUAAUUUUAGUUUGGACAGUCAAGGUUUGGACAAUAAUUUUAGUUUGGACAGUCAAGGUUUGGACAAUAAUUUUAGUUUGGACAGUCAAGGUUUGGACAAUAAUUUUAGUUUGGACAGUCAAGGUUUGGACACGGUCCAUAACCAGGUAUAUUGUAAUUUUAUUGCAUCUUACUAAUUUUGAUGGUGCUAUACAACGUUUAAAAUCUUCAUCCUAAUAAUAAUAUUUUAGAUUUUUUUUCCUGUAAUAGGCAACAUGUUGUCAUUCCUUAUGGUGAAGCAUUGGAUAAUUUUUGUAGAGGAGGAAUAACUUGAUAUCAAGUGUUUUAGGAAUCGGACCAAAGUUUCACUGAUUAUCAGUCUGCACAUCAAUGUAUAUUUACUGUAUUUAUCCUCAAAUAAACCCCUUCGUCAAUUAUAAUAGUUAAGAACCUUAUUUAUCCUCAAAUAAACCCCUUCGCCAAUUGUAAAAGUUAAGAACUGUAUUUAUCCUCAAAUAGUCCCCUUCGCCAAUUAUGAUAGUUAAGAACCGUAUUUAUCCUCAAAUAGUCCCCUUCCCUUUAAAAUAGUUAAGAACCGUAUUUAUCCUCAAAUAGUCCCCUUCCCUUUAAAAUAGUUUUAAAUUUCAAUACUGUAUUUUUCCUAAACAUUAAGCCCCCUCCCUGAAUAUAAAAGUUUAGCAGUAAAGUUUGGGAGGGUUUGUUUGUGCAUUAUUUAGCUAACUAUUUCAAAAUUCAUGACCAUACUAAAAUCAAGAAGGGAGAUUUUUUGUGGAUAAAUACUGUAGUUUGUAAGUUUUCCUGCGGUGUAUUUGUCAGUUUGAAAAUUAAAAUCAUGAAAAAUGCUUUGAUACUUUUAAUUCAUGUAACAUUUCACGUACUAUAAUAUAAAUCCUCUAUUGAUACAUUACAAAUGUAGUCAAAAGCUGUACGCAUCAACUCAUUGAAUUUAAGAUGGCAAAAAUAUGAAGAAAUUUCUAUGAAUCAAAAAAAGGUCAAAAGAAUAGAUUUUAUUGGCAAGUUAGUAGCAGGGAAUUUUUUUAAUGUUUCAAUUAGUGCGACCGGUAUUAGAAAUAAUUUUUUAGUCACAGUCUAAAUGUACAAGGUUUAUAACACUUUGGGAUGUUAAUUGGCUAACCUCAGAUUCUAAUUUGUGUUUAUCAUCAUCAUCAUUUAAAAGAAUUUAUAUUUAAACAUUGACAACUGAUAUAUUUUAUUUUUUAAGUUUAAAUCUAUGCUUGUGGUUUAAUUCAAUUCGUACAACAAUUUGCAGUGUUGUUGAAAAUUUUUAUUUAAUUCUAAAAUUUCUAAGUGGGGAAAUUUGUCGGGAACGUUAAGGUUAUAUGCUACCAUACAUGUGAAUGUACUUGAUUAAGAGUUGUGUCCCUUAGUGUAAUCUCCAUUUAUACCAGAUAUUUGUCUUCACAUUUAAUAGAGGUUUCGCAGCACGGUAUAACACAUAGCCUUAUAAUGUACAGACAAGUUUGUAUCCCUUUACCGUUGUAAAUUACAGUUUUGUUAACGCUUUCUGCUCUCGGCUAAUGUAUCUCAAAAGUCAGUCACUGUUAAACAGGGCAUUCUCACACUGUCAUAUUUUCACCAUGAAAAGAGAGUAAAAGCUGGAUUAAUAGUAAAAACACUUAUAAAUCAAUUUGCUGCACUUCAAACUGACAUUUGUUUAUAGCAGCUGUCAAAAAUAUUUCUAUUAAUACUAAACAUUUUAAAAGGCAAAAUUUUGAUACCAAGAGGUAAAACACAACAUUAUAUUUACAUAGUAGAACUCGACCGGUAGAGCAUCCGGCUAGUGUUCGGAGGUCCCGGUUCGAACCCCAAUCUGGCUGUGCAUUUUCCCACUCCUACUACAUUCAUAGCAACACGUAAUGUAUACAUAAUUUUAGUAAAGUUAUAGGCUAGUCAACUUAUACUACACCUGGUGAAAAUAUGAUGGGAUGAAAAUUUCAUGGUUAACGAAAUAAAUUCCAUAUUUUAUUUACUGUCCCAGCCGACAUUAUGUGCGGUACAUCAGGUGAUGGUGUGUGUGUAAAAUGCUGAAAUAACGCCAUAUUUUGUUUAAUGUCCCUCCCAACAUUAUCUGUGUUAUAUCGGGUUUGGAUGUAUGUGCAUACAUGUAGUGCUGAAAUAACGCCAUGUUUUGUUUAAUGUCCCUCCCAACCUUUUCUGUGUUAUAUCGGGUUAGGAUGUAUGUAAAUAGUGCUGAAAUAACGCCAUGUUUUGUUACUGUCCCCCGACAUUAUCUGCGAUAUUCCAUGUUAACACUGGCGUGUCCCCCGACAUUAUCUGCGAUAUUCCAUGUUAACAAUGGCGUGUCCCCCGACAUUAUCUGCGAUAUUCCAUGUUAACACUGGCGUGUAUAUAUAGUGCUGUAUCCCCACAUUUACUAGCAACUGUUUGUUAACGUUAUUCCUACUCAAUUUUUGUACAAUAAAAAGGGCAAUGUUUUGCUGUUUACAA